This 827-nucleotide ribosomal RNA is filed under the name uncultured Microbacteriaceae bacterium. RNAcentral describes it as "bacterial SSU rRNA". It matches the Rfam family "Bacterial small subunit ribosomal RNA", at positions 71 to 909 of the family's 1533-position model. The record is from RNAcentral. Lineage: Bacteria; Bacillati; Actinomycetota; Actinomycetes; Micrococcales; Microbacteriaceae.
AGCUGGAGCUUGCUCCGGUGGAUUAGUGGCGAACGGGUGAGUAACACGUGAGUAACCUGCCCUUGACUCUGGGAUAACUGCGGGAAACUGUAGCUAAUACCGGAUACGACACCUUCGGGCAUCCGAUGGGUGAGGAAAGAAUUUCGGUCAAGGAUGGACUCGCGGCCUAUCAGCUUGUUGGUGACGUAACGGCUCACCAAGGCGACGACGGGUAGCCGGCCUGAGAGGGUGACCGGCCACACUGGGACUGAGACACGGCCCAGACUCCUACGGGAGGCAGCAGUAGGGAAUAUUGCACAAUGGGCGCAAGCCUGAUGCAGCAACGCCGCGUGAGGGAUGAAGGCCUUCGGGUUGUAAACCUCUUUUAGUAGGGAAGAAGCGAAAGUGACGGUACCUACAGAAAAAGCACCGGCUAACUACGUGCCAGCAGCCGCGGUAAUACGUAGGGUGCAAGCGUUGUCCGGAAUUAUUGGGCGUAAAGAGCUCGUAGGCGGUUUGUCGCGUCUGCUGUGAAAAUCCGAAGCUCAACUUCGGACCUGCAGUGGGUACGGGCAGACUAGAGUGCGGUAGGGGAGAAGGGAAUUCCUGGUGUAGCGGUGGAAUGCGCAGAUAUCAGGAGGAACACCGAUGGCGAAGGCACUUCUCUGGGCCGUAACUGACGCUGAGGAGCGAAAGCGUGGGGAGCGAACAGGAUUAGAUACCCUGGUAGUCCACGCCGUAAACGGUGGGUGCUAGUUGUGGGUCACAUUCCACGUGAUCUGCGACGCAGCUAACGCAUUAAGCACCCCGCCUGGGGAGUACGGUCGCAAGACUAAAAAUCUAAUGAA